Molecule: transfer RNA, 89 nt
Filed under: Gellertiella hungarica
Lineage: Bacteria; Pseudomonadati; Pseudomonadota; Alphaproteobacteria; Hyphomicrobiales; Rhizobiaceae
Description: tRNA-Ser
Rfam family: tRNA
About the family: Transfer RNA (tRNA) molecules are approximately 80 nucleotides in length. Their secondary structure includes four short double-helical elements and three loops (D, anti-codon, and T loops).
Source: RNAcentral
GGAUGGUUGGCAGAGCGGCUUAAUGCAGCGGUUUGCUAAAUCGCCGGGCCUUCGCGGUCCCGUAGGUUCAAAUCCUACACCAUCCGCCA